This 590-nucleotide long non-coding RNA is filed under the name Mytilus galloprovincialis (Mediterranean mussel). The record is from RNAcentral. Lineage: Eukaryota; Metazoa; Mollusca; Bivalvia; Mytilida; Mytilidae.
UGCAUUUAUGCAUGAACUGUUCUACCAAAGCUUCCAAAAUUUUAAUAUGCUGUUACUGAUGACAAAAUGGAGGUCAAGUUCAAUAAUGACGAUUUUGACUUUUACCGUUCAGGAGUUAUGGUUCUUGAAAGAUUGAAAAAUGGUGUUUCCCGUCGUGUCCGUGCAUUUUCUCAUGAACCAUUCAACCAAAGCUUUUGAAAUUUUAAUAUGUUGUUACUGAUGACAAAAUAGAGGUCAAGUUCCAUAAUGACGAUUUUGACUUUUACUGUUCAGGAGUUAUGGUUCUUGAAAGAUUGUAAAAUGGCGUUUGUUGCAUUUACUCAUGAACCAUUCAAUCUAAGCUUUUCAAAUAUUAUUAUUUCAAAAUGUUGAUACUGAUGACAAAAUGGAGGUCAAAUUUGAUAUUGAUGAUUUUCACUUUCACCAUUCAUCAGUAAUGGUUCUUGUGAUAUUGCCAGGACACAAAUAAAUGUAAAUAAAUCCGGUUUGCUGUCGUUGUGACAGCCUCUUGUUUACAUCUGAAUUACAGAGGUCUGGGCAUAUACACCUUAUCGCUAAUCCCGGCUGACCCGGCCGCUUGACUUUUUGAC